This 686-nucleotide long non-coding RNA is filed under the name Setaria viridis. RNAcentral describes it as "long non-coding RNA (SVIR_LNC002129)". The record is from RNAcentral. Lineage: Eukaryota; Viridiplantae; Streptophyta; Magnoliopsida; Poales; Poaceae.
UCGAGGGUAAAAUUACAAAGUUAGAAAAAUGAGGGUAAAAACACAAUUACUCCGGGUAAGAUAUUUUAUUGAUGAGAGAAAAACGGAAAAGAAUUGUCAAAUAGAUAAACUGUAUAACUGGAGCAAACCGUAAGAUUAAUUCAGAUUGUAGAGUUUCCCGUGAUCAAAUCAUGCAUGGUUUUCAACGAGAGUUCGCACUGAAAGUCUAGAUCCACACAUGCAAGGACAGAAAAAUGUGAGGCCAGGUGCUUCUCAUGAUAAUUGACUGAUGAUAGUUUCGUCUCCAACUUUAUUCAGCAGCUACUACAUCAUACAGUACCCUCAUACGAGAUUUCACACUCUUCUAGCUGCUUCAGGCAGAGUUCACACGAAUACUUGUAUGUGUCAAACAAGUAGAAGUAUACAAUAUACGUGCAUCAGAAAUGUAGGUAACCUGUCGAGUAGGGUUGUCAGUUCAGGCUAUAAAUGGUCGAUCAAAUUGAUUGUACAUGACGUCCACAAUUUCAGACAAUGAAUAGCAAAUGAAAAUCAAAUUAAUAAAUUCAGGAUUGCUAGCAGAGUAGUACUCCCUCCGUUUCAAAUUGUAAGUCAUUCCAACUUUUUUGGAAAGUCAAAGCAACUCAAAUUUGACCAAAUUUAUACAAUAAAGGCCCCGUUUUCUUCCACUGACUUAUUUUUAGCACCCG